RNAcentral lists this ribosomal RNA (503 nucleotides) under uncultured Glomus. RNAcentral's name for it is "SSU rRNA". It matches the Rfam family "Eukaryotic small subunit ribosomal RNA", at positions 569 to 1077 of the family's 1831-position model. Lineage: Eukaryota; Fungi; Glomeromycota; Glomeromycetes; Glomerales; Glomeraceae. The record is from RNAcentral.
AGCAGCCGCGGUAAUUCCAGCUCCAAUAGCGUAUAUUAAAGUUGUUGCAGUUAAAAAGCUCGUAGUUGAAUUUCGGAGUCAGUAGGUUGGUCAUGCCUUCGGUAUGUACUGGUCUCACUGAUUCCUCCCUCUUGAAGAACUGUAAUGUCAUUAAUUUGGUGUUGCGGGGAAACAGGACUGUUACUUUGAAAAAAUUGAGUGUUUAAAGCAGGCUCACGCUUGAAUACAUUAGCAUGGAAUAAUGAAAUAGGACGAUCGAUCCUAUUUUGUUGGUUUCUAGGAUUGACGUAAUGAUUAAUAGGGAUAGUUGGGGGCAUUAGUAUUCAAUUGUCAGAGGUGAAAUUCUUGGAUUUAUUGAAGACUAACUACUGCGAAAGCAUUUGCCAAGGAUGUUUUCAUUAAUCAAGAACGAAAGUUAGGGAUCGAAGACGAUCAGAUACCGUCGUAGUCUUAACCAUAAACUAUGCCGACUAGGGAUCGGAUGAUGUUAAUUUUUAUGACUC